GACCGGGGUUCGAUUCCCCGCCGGAGAGCCA
This 31-nucleotide small RNA is filed under the name Bombyx mori (domestic silkworm). Its description in RNAcentral is "ovarian small RNA-2680". Lineage: Eukaryota; Metazoa; Arthropoda; Insecta; Lepidoptera; Bombycidae. The record is from RNAcentral.